RNAcentral lists this transfer RNA (72 nucleotides) under Bacidia sorediata. Its description in RNAcentral is "tRNA-Glu". It matches the Rfam family "tRNA". Rfam says of the family: Transfer RNA (tRNA) molecules are approximately 80 nucleotides in length. Their secondary structure includes four short double-helical elements and three loops (D, anti-codon, and T loops). The record is from RNAcentral. Lineage: Eukaryota; Fungi; Ascomycota; Lecanoromycetes; Lecanorales; Ramalinaceae.
GGCCCAAUAGUCAAGCGGUUAAGACAUAAUGUUUUCACCAUUACUUCAAGGGUUCAAAUCCCUUUUGGGCUA